AUCUGUACAUGUAUCGGGUAUGCUUCCGCUGAUACCCGGGCGUGACAAGUUGAGCAUAUCUUUUAGUUAGUUAAAUGAGAAUUUUGUAGCUAUCCUCUUAUUUAGUUUUAUCUGUACUUAUUUUUAGAUUUUUAUUGAUUAGUUAAUCUCUAGAUAAGGCUGUUAUGAUUAGUUAUUUAAGAUAAGAUCGAAUCCAAAGUUAGUUAGGAGUAUCUAAAGCUAAAGAUAGUAUAAAUAAGAUGUAGAUCUUCAUUGUAUGAAGAAGACGAUGAUAUUAAUGAAUUAAUAAAAAUGAUUCGGAGCUUUGGUGCUCGAUCAACAUUUUUUCCUUUGCGAAUGCGUCGCCUUGGAGUGAAUCCAGUCCCGAAGUGAGUUCAGUUCAGGAGUGAGUCCUGAUUAUCUUUUCUAUUUCUUUCUUUUUUAAAUUUUUUUUUAUUUUUUUAAUUUUAAUUUUUUUAAUUACGAAAAUUUCUAAAAAAAAGUAUUUCAAAAACUUUCAAAUUUUCAGAACGCUUUCAAAAUCAUAAAUUAUAGUUUGGAGCCCUCUAAAAACGUAGGACCCUAUAUCCGUCCUACUUUAGAUUUGGUAUCAGAGCUUAGGCUAUUUGACGGUUCUAUUUCGUCAAAAGUUUUGGGCUUGUGGACGAAAACAAGGUGGAAAUUUUUUUAAAAAUAGGUGAAAAAAAUAUAAAGAAAAGUGUGUGGAGAAAAAAAAAUGGAGAGUGUGUAAAAAAAAAGAAAAAAAGAAAAAAAAAAUUAUGGAUGCCAAAGAAUGUCUUAAAAUAGUUUUUCAAAAGUAUGGUAGAAGAAAAGGAAUUCAUAUUGAGUCUUUAAAAGAAAUAUGCGAGAUAACAAGAGUAGAGUUUGAUGAAUGGUUGUACGAUCAGAGGUUAUAUUUUGAGAGAAAAAGAAAUGAUAUUCGAAUGGAAAUACUAAAUGACUUGAGAUGGUGGUAUAGACAAAGGCAAAUAUCUCAUCUUGAUUUUAACAUAAUAUUUUUGCUGGAAGAAGAAAGAAGGUUGAAAGAUAUUGAAAAUGGUGCUAAAAUUGCUAAAGAUGAUUUUCGAUGGAUGGGUAAAGGGCAGAGAUGAGUAUCGAUGAUCCAACUAAAAGUUCAACUGGAAACCCUAGUUGCUCAACAGAGUACACAAUCUAUAGCAUAGUUGGGAGUCGACAAUUUUGAGUUCCAUCCACACCAUCCGAUUGCCAGGAAGUUCCAGAUGUGGACGAGCCCGAGUUAGAUUUAGAAAAUCCAAAGUUGAUUCAUGAAGAUAAGGUAAAUCAGUGUUUUGAGGAGGUAAGAUUGCAAAUCGAGUUACCCUUAUUGCCCCAGCAAUAUGAGUCCGCUAUACUUUUAGAUUGCAUCGAAAGCAUCUUUAUUAUUGGUAUCAAACCUUACGAAAUCUCAUGAACUUGUCAGUUGUUCUUCCUACUUCAAUACCAAACCGGAAGCUCAGAUGAUACAAGUGGUUCGACAUGCAGACAUUGGGUUACAUCACUUUAUUCUACACACUUGGUUAUUUUCUAUCACCUUGCAAAUCCACCUGAUCUCGAGGACGAGAUUGUGCGCAGCGGAAGCGAAUGAUGUAGAACAGGCCUGAACCAAUGUUGAUUGGAUUGAACUGAUUUAGUUCAUCAUUUUUUAAACUUAGAUUAGAUUAGUUGAGCAUAUCUUUUAGUUAGUUAAAUGAGAAUUUUGUAGCUAUCCUCUUAUUUAGUUUUAUCUGUACUUAUUUUUAGAUUUUUAUUGAUUAGUUAAUCUCUAGAUAAGGCUGUUAUGAUUAGUUAUUUAAGAUAAGAUCGAAUCCGAAGUUAGUUAGGUGUAUCUAAAGCUAAAGAUAGUAUAAAUAAGAUGUAGAUCUUCAUUGUAUGAAGAAGACGAUGAUAUUAAUGAAUUAAUAAAAAUGAUUCGGAGCUUAGGUGCUCGAUCAACCUUUUUUCCUUCGCGAAUGCAUCACGUUGGAGUGAGCCCAGCCCCGAAGUGAGUUCGGUUCAAGAGUGAGUCCUGAUUAUCUUUUCUAUUUCUUUCUUUUUUUGAAUUUUUUUAUUUUCUUUAAUUUUUAUUUUUUUAAUUACGAAAAUUUCUAAAAAAAAGUAUUUCAAAAACUUUCAAAUUUUUAAAACGCUUUUAAAAUCAUAAAUUAUAUUUU
RNAcentral lists this long non-coding RNA (2150 nucleotides) under Ananas comosus (pineapple). Its description in RNAcentral is "long non-coding RNA (ACOM_LNC026991)". Lineage: Eukaryota; Viridiplantae; Streptophyta; Magnoliopsida; Poales; Bromeliaceae. The record is from RNAcentral.